Molecule: transfer RNA, 71 nt
Filed under: Verrucomicrobiota bacterium
Lineage: Bacteria; Pseudomonadati; Verrucomicrobiota
Description: Verrucomicrobia bacterium tRNA-Gly
Rfam family: tRNA
About the family: Transfer RNA (tRNA) molecules are approximately 80 nucleotides in length. Their secondary structure includes four short double-helical elements and three loops (D, anti-codon, and T loops). Further hydrogen bonds mediate the characteristic L-shaped molecular structure. tRNAs have two regions of fundamental functional importance: the anti-codon, which is responsible for specific mRNA codon recognition, and the 3' end, to which the tRNAs corresponding amino acid is attached (by aminoacyl-tRNA synthetases). tRNAs cope with the degeneracy of the genetic code in two manners: having more than one tRNA (with a specific anti-codon) for a particular amino acid; and 'wobble' base-pairing, i.e. permitting non-standard base-pairing at the 3rd anti-codon position.
Source: RNAcentral
UAGCUUAAUGGUAAAGUUCCAGCCUUCCAAGCUGGCCAUGCGGGUUCGAUUCCCGUUGCCCGCUAAUUCCA